RNAcentral lists this ribosomal RNA (339 nucleotides) under uncultured Pseudomonas sp. RNAcentral describes it as "bacterial SSU rRNA". It matches the Rfam family "Bacterial small subunit ribosomal RNA", at positions 1044 to 1381 of the family's 1533-position model. Lineage: Bacteria; Pseudomonadati; Pseudomonadota; Gammaproteobacteria; Pseudomonadales; Pseudomonadaceae. The record is from RNAcentral.
CAUGGCUGUCGUCAGCUCGUGUCGCGAGAUGUUGGGUUAAGUCCCGUAACGAGCCGCAACCCUUGUCCUUAGUUACCAGCACGUUAUGGUGGGCACUCUAAGGAGACUGCCGGUGACAAACCGGAGGAAGGUGGGGAUGACGUCAAGUCAUCAUGGCCCUUACGGCCUGGGCUACACACGUGCUACAAUGGUCGGUACAAAGGGUUGCCAAGCCGCGAGGUGGAGCUAAUCCCAUAAAACCGAUCGUAGUCCGGAUCGCAGUCUGCAACUCGACUGCGUGAAGUCGGAAUCGCUAGUAAUCGUGAAUCAGAAUGUCACGGUGAAUACGUUCCCGGCCUU